CAAAACAUGGCUUCUCGUAUUUAAUAAAUGUGAAGUCGUACCUGCCCAGUGAAUUUUUAACGGCCGCGGUACUCUGACCGUGCAAAGGUAGCAUAAUAAUUUGCCUUAUAACUGAAGGCUGGAAUGAAUGGUUUGUCAAGGGUAGAACUGUCUCUAAAGGAUUAUAUAGAAUUUUAUUUCUAGGUGAAAAAGCCUAGAUUAUAUUAAAAGACAAGAAGACCCUAUCGAGCUUUAGGUAAAUUAAUAAAAUAUUUAAGUUAUUAAAUUAAAAUUAAGUUAUUAAAGACUUUGGUUGGGGCAACCGAGGAGUAAACAAAACCUCCUUUAAACUCAAAAUUUAUUGAUGAUGAUCCAGAAGUUCUGAUUACAAGAAAUAGUUACCGUAGGGAUAACAGCAUUAUUUUUUUCAAGAGUUCAUAUCGAAAAAAAAGUUUGUGACCUCGAUGUUGGACCAGAAUAUCCUAAAGAUGUAGAAGUCUUUAAGGGUUGGUCUGUUCGACCAUUAAAAUUCUACGUGAUC
This 520-nucleotide ribosomal RNA is filed under the name Glaciotomella investigator. Its description in RNAcentral is "partial large subunit ribosomal RNA". It matches the Rfam family "Bacterial large subunit ribosomal RNA", at positions 1809 to 2605 of the family's 2925-position model. The record is from RNAcentral. Lineage: Eukaryota; Metazoa; Mollusca; Gastropoda; Neogastropoda; Raphitomidae.